UUCUAGGUUAGGAUGUCAGGCUCCUAGUACAGAUACAAAGGAGUCGAUGUCUUGGGAAGAAUGCCUGAAAUACUUUAGGGUCUGUGUGCUAUGGACCUGAGCAAAAUCAUACCUCAGUCAUGACCUUUAGUCACUGAAGCAAUGAUUACUGCUAACUUGACAAUAGGAUGGGCUUGGCGGAGGCGAUGUUUGUGCCAUAUUUGGAAGCUGGAAGAGAAGCAGUAGCCAUAUGCUCUGAAGGGCAGUGUGGCCCAGGUGCUGCCGAAGCUCCCCACGGGGCUGCUCAUCUGCUGACUCAGCGGUGGGCAUGGGGCCCCAGCUCCUGCCAGGACCUUGUUCAGCUCUUCCCAGCACUGUGCCAGCUUUUAUGGCCUAUGUGGCCUGUCAACCGACCUCAGGCCCACCCCUGCACCUGCGUGGCAUCCCAUAAACUCCCACAACGGACCAUGCUGUUUGAUUACUAUGGCUUUAAAAUAUAAUUUGAAGUCAGGAAGUGUGAUGCCUCCAACUUUAUACUUCUUGCUUAAGAUUGCUAGGUGCCUGGGUGGCUCAGUGGGUGAAAGCCUCUACCUUCAGCUCAGGUCAUGAUCUCAGGGUCCUGGGAUCAAGCCCUGCAUCAGGCUCUCUGCUCAGCAGGGAGCCUGCUUCCUCCUC
Molecule: long non-coding RNA, 654 nt
Organism: Lutra lutra (Eurasian river otter)
Lineage: Eukaryota; Metazoa; Chordata; Mammalia; Carnivora; Mustelidae
Exons: 5
Source: RefSeq, a predicted model, not a curated record